CGUAACCCUAUCCGGUAGGGGGAAGUAACUAGCCCCGAAAGGGUGGCUAAUACCGCAUACGUCCACUGCUUCGUGGGCAGUGGGGAAAACCGCAAGGUGCCGAUGGAGCGGCCCGCGUUCGAUUAGCUGGUUGGUGGGGUAACGGCCUACCAAGGCGACGAUCGAUAGCUGGUCUCAGAGGAUGAUCAGCCAGACUGGGACUGAGACACGGCCCAG
This 216-nucleotide ribosomal RNA is filed under the name uncultured bacterium. RNAcentral describes it as "partial 16S ribosomal RNA". It matches the Rfam family "Bacterial small subunit ribosomal RNA", at positions 120 to 334 of the family's 1533-position model. The record is from RNAcentral.